RNAcentral lists this ribosomal RNA (291 nucleotides) under Nothoporinia mediolineata. Its description in RNAcentral is "partial 28S rRNA". It matches the Rfam family "Eukaryotic large subunit ribosomal RNA", at positions 95 to 367 of the family's 3401-position model. The record is from RNAcentral. Lineage: Eukaryota; Metazoa; Arthropoda; Insecta; Lepidoptera; Geometridae.
GAACAGGAACAAGCCCAGCACUGAAUCCCGCCGUUGUAACGGCGGCGGGAGAUGUGGUGUUCGGGAGGUUCCGCUUUCUUGUCGUCGUCCACUCCUGUCCAAGUUCGUCUUGAACGGGGCCCAUUUCCCAUAGAGGGUGCCAGGCCCGUAGCGACGGAGGACGACGGCGAGAGGGACUCUCCUCAGAGUCGGGUUGCUUGAGAGUGCAGCCCUAAGUGGGUGGUAAACUCCAUCUAAGGCUAAAUAUUACCGCGAGACCGAUAGCGAACAAGUACCGUAAGGGAAAGUUGA